CUUUUUCGGCGAAAUUUCGCCGAAAUUUCCGAAAUUUCGCAUUUUUCAGUGAGGUCCGAAAAAAUUUUUGUAUCGGUCAAAUUUUUCGGUUAAAUUCAUGUUUCGCUUCAAAAUUACUCCAAACAACAAUAAAAUGACCCACCAUAUCUUCUAGUCUUAUCAAAGCCCUAAAUUUCUUCAAAAUUAUUUAAUUUUCUCACUCACAUAUUCCGUGACACUAGCAUAUGCAGCUCGCCCACCGUCAGCCCGCUAUACUACCGCAAUAAUAUAUUGUGUUAUUUCGUUAAUAUUAUAUAAAUUUGUGAUGAGUGAUAUAUUAGAAAGCUUUUUUAGUAAAAUGAUGUCAAAUUUUUUAAAAAAUCAAUUUGAAUUUAUUUAAAUUUCAUCCGAAAUUUCUGAAAUGUCCGAAAUUUCUUAUUUAUCGGCAGGUGCCGAAAAAAUUUUCCUACCGAAAAAGAAAACCU
RNAcentral lists this long non-coding RNA (464 nucleotides) under Sorghum bicolor (sorghum). RNAcentral describes it as "long non-coding RNA (SBIC_LNC013568)". The record is from RNAcentral. Lineage: Eukaryota; Viridiplantae; Streptophyta; Magnoliopsida; Poales; Poaceae.